AACACGUAACAGAAGGAAAAGAAGAAGAUGAGAAAAGGCCAGUGAGAAUACAUUCAAAAUUUGUAGCCAACUGUGGUGAAUAAUGGUGAAAAAUCCAAGGAAAUUUCAGAGACAGGUACUGCAGCAUUUAUUUCCUUAUCUAUCUAUCUAUCUAUAUGCAUUUGGAUAUUACAAUAUUAUAUUCUAUAUGACAGCGACCAGUUGUUGAACUUCGUAAUGGUAUGCUUAAGUGAUAAAAUGGCUGAAAAAUAUUAUUAAAAUUACCUUGUUACUCAUAUCUUAAAUUUAAAAAUAUAUUUUAAUAAUAAUACAUCUUUUUCAUAAUUGAAAUUAUUUUAAAAAACUUUGCGUUAUGUUGAUGUUCUGUAUCAGUUUAUAUAUAUAUAUAUAUAUAUAUAUAUAUAUAUAUAUAUAUAUAUUUGACCUGAUUAACUGCAGAUGUAAUUCAGAUGUGACGAGCAUGAUAAUGGAUGGAGUAAACAGAUGUUGGUGAAAAAGUACAUGGAGGUGAUAGAGAAUAAGAAAGAAUAAAUGAUGGAGGAACAAUGAUUGAAUUCCCAUGUAUUAAUUAUGAGAGACCAGAAAUAUCAGAAUAUAUACCAGCUAUGUUUUUACUUUACAAACUACAAGCUUUAUGUAAAACUUUUAUCUCUAUCUUAGUCUCUUAAAUCCAAAUUUCUUGUUAACUUGUAAUUAAGUUAAUGAAAUCUGGUGUAAUUAUUAAAUUUUUUGACAG
This 736-nucleotide long non-coding RNA is filed under the name Vigna radiata. RNAcentral's name for it is "long non-coding RNA (VRAD_LNC010874)". Lineage: Eukaryota; Viridiplantae; Streptophyta; Magnoliopsida; Fabales; Fabaceae. The record is from RNAcentral.